CCUACGGGUGGCAGCAGUGGGGAAUAUUGCACAAUGGGCGCAAGCCUGAUGCAGCGACGCCGCGUGAGCGAAGAAGUAUUUCGGUAUGUAAAGCUCUAUCAGUAGGGAAGAAAAUGACGGUAUCUGACUAAGAAGCUCCGGCUAAAUACGUGCCAGCAGCCGCGGUAAUACGUAGGGAGCAAGCGUUAUCCGGAAUUACUGGGUGUAAAGGGAGCGUAGACGGGUUAGUAAGUCUGAUGUGAAAGGCGGGGGCUCAACCCCAGGACUGCAUUGGAAACUGUAAAUCUUGAGUGUCGGAGAGGUAAGCGGAAUUCUUGGUGUAGCGGUGAAAUCCGUAGAUAUUAGGAGGAACACCAGUUGCGAAGGCGGCUUACUGGACGGUUACUGACGUUGAGGCUCGAAAGCGUGGGGAGCAAACAGGAUUAGAUACCCCUGUAGUC
RNAcentral lists this ribosomal RNA (440 nucleotides) under uncultured bacterium. Its description in RNAcentral is "partial 16S ribosomal RNA". It matches the Rfam family "Bacterial small subunit ribosomal RNA", at positions 338 to 795 of the family's 1533-position model. The record is from RNAcentral.